Molecule: ribosomal RNA, 438 nt
Filed under: uncultured bacterium
Lineage: Bacteria
Description: bacterial SSU rRNA
Rfam family: Bacterial small subunit ribosomal RNA
Source: RNAcentral
AUUGAACGCUGGCGGCAUGCCUUACACAUGCAAGUCGAACGGCAGCACGGGAGCAAUCCUGGUGGCGAGUGGCGAACGGGUGAGUAAUAUAUCGGAACGUGCCCAGUCGUGGGGAUAACGUAGCGAAAGCUACGCUAAUACCGCAUACGAUCUAUGGAUGAAAGCGGGGGAUCGCAAGACCUCGCGCGAUUGGAGCGGCCGAUAUCAGAUUAGGUAGUUGGUGAGGUAAAGGCUCACCAAGCCGACGAUCUGUAGCUGGUCUGAGAGGACGACCAGCCACACUGGGACUGAGACACGGCCCAGACUCCUACGGGAGGCAGCAGUGGGGAAUUUUGGACAAUGGGCGCAAGCCUGAUCCAGCAAUGCCGCGUGCAGGAUGAAGGCCUCGGUUGUAACUAGCUUUGUUACGACGUAAACGGUAGAGCUCUAAUACAGUUG